AUGAAGACACACAUAUACUAAAAUUGGAAUGAUACAGAGAAGAUUAGCAUGGCCGCUUUGCAAGGAUAACACACAAAUUCAUGAAGCGUUCCAUAUUUUA
This is a small nuclear RNA of Delphinapterus leucas (beluga whale), 100 nucleotides long. The record is from Ensembl. NCBI's taxonomy places the organism in Eukaryota, Metazoa, Chordata, Mammalia, Artiodactyla, Monodontidae.